RNAcentral lists this ribosomal RNA (495 nucleotides) under uncultured bacterium. Its description in RNAcentral is "partial 16S ribosomal RNA". It matches the Rfam family "Bacterial small subunit ribosomal RNA", at positions 28 to 507 of the family's 1533-position model. The record is from RNAcentral.
GAUGAACGCUGGCGGCGUGCCUAAUACAUGCAAGUAGAACGCUGAAGGAGGAGCUUGCUCUUCUGGAUGAGUUGCGAACGGGUGAGUAACGCGUAGGUAACCUGCCUGGUAGCGGGGGAUAACUAUUGGAAACGAUAGCUAAUACCGCAUGACAACAGUUAUUGCAUGAUAACUGUUUAAAAGGGGCAACUGCUCCACUACCAGAUGGACCUGCGUUGUAUUAGCUAGUUGGUGAGGUAACGGCUCACCAAGGCGACGAUACAUAGCCGACCUGAGAGGGUGAUAGGCCACACUGGGAAUGAGACACGGCCCAGACUCCUACGGGAGGCAGCAGUAGGGAAUCUUCGGCAAUGGACGGAAGUCUGACCGAGCAACGCCGCGUGAGUGAAGAAGGUUUUCGGAUCGUAAAGCUCUGUUGUAAGAGAAGAACGAGUGUGAGAGUGGAAAGUUCACACUGUGACGGUAUCUUACCAGAAAGGGACGGCUAACUACGUG